This is an RNA transcript of Fragaria vesca subsp. vesca, 3409 nucleotides long. It is a transcript of the gene named probable disease resistance protein At5g66900-like, with no coding region annotated. The record is from RefSeq and is a predicted model, not a curated record. Lineage: Eukaryota; Viridiplantae; Streptophyta; Magnoliopsida; Rosales; Rosaceae. The transcript is spliced from 5 exons.
CUGCAAGUCUCCUGGUAAGUCAAUGGGGGCUGUAAGCCUGUAACCCAGAAAUUUCCAUUCAGCUUCAUGAUGUAUAUUAUAUAUUCUUCAUCGUUUCUGUUGUGAAGUACGAAAUAAUUGACCUUUGCAUUAUUGAUUGAUAUCGAGUGUUCAUCUUCAUUGGUUUAUUGGGUUCCAUUUUCCAAAGCUAAGAAUCUUAGUUUCCAGAUUUUCAAGUACCCAAAACCUUGUGUGUGUGUUUGAUUUUGCUGUCAUCAAUGGUUGGUGCGGAUGAUGUUUUUGGUGGGGCUGGUGGAGGAAUACUGUUCACUGUUCUCUAUGAUCUGCUGAAAGAGCUCAUCAGCAAGUCUAUGAUAUAUGGCCCUCUUCUCAAAGAUAUUCUGUCUGCCUUGGACUCAUAUAGACCACUGAUCAAGCAAAUAGAAGCAAGCAAUGAGGAACUGGGUUAUCGAAAGGAGGAAGUAGAAAAGUUCAAAGCACAUAUGAAGGAGGGGAUAAAGAUUGUUAAAAAGUGCUCCAAGGUUCGUAAGUGGAACAUCUACAAGAAGUACAAGUACGCCAACAAGCUUCUUGGAUGGGAUAGUGCUCUUGAAAGACUGUUGAAGGUACUGCAGGCGCAGGGAGUAAGGGAUGGGAAGGAGACCUUGCUUUCGGUAAAGAGGAUAGAGAGGACGGUCACUGAGAUUGAAAUGAAUAGUAGCAUUUUAGAGUCAGGGGUUGAGAUUUUAGCAACAACCAGUAGGCAUAUGGAGAAGGCGCUCAGUGGAGUUGAAAUGAGAAGUGGAGAUGUAUUGGAGGGGAUGUACCGGAUUGAAGACCGAGUUGAAACAAAGUCUUGCAGUAUGGAGGCAGGGAUCAAGAGGAUUGAAGACCGACUUGAUACACAAAAUGGAGCUAAAGGUGGAGCUUGGGGUGUUGUGCCUGAACUCACACAGUUUACAGUUGGACUGGAUGAGCCUUUGAAGGAGUUGAAGAUGAAACUUCUUAAGGAUGGAGUCUCGAUGCUUGUGGUCACUGCUCCCGGAGGAUGUGGGAAAACUACAUUGGCAACAAAGUUUUGUCAAGACGGGCAAGUCAAAGAUAAAUUCAAGAACAACAUCUUCUUUGUCACUGUGUCAAACACACCAAACCUAGGCCUUAUUGUGCAAGAGUUACACAAUCGCAAGGGUUCCCAGGUGCCUACUUUCCAAGACGAAGUAACUGCAGUCAAGUGGCUGCAAACAUUUCUGAAGGAACAAGGAAGAAACCCUUUACUAUUAGUCUUGGAUGAUGUUUGGUCUGGAUCAGAAUCCCUACUAGACAAGUUUCAGUUCGAGAUGCAAGAUUACAAGAUGCCAGAUUAUAAGAUUUUGGUCACAUCAAGAUCUGAAUUUCCGAGAUUUGGUUCUUCAUAUCAUUUGCAAUCAUUGGAUUAUGACAAUGCCAUGAAACUCUUUUGUCAUUCAGCAUCUUUGGGAGAUAAAAGCGCGCAUAUUCCAGCAUCCCUCUCGAGACGGAUAGUAAAGGGCUGUAAGGGAUAUCCACUUGCGAUCACGGUGGCAGGAGGAUCACUUUGCGGACAAAGUAUAGAGAUCUGGAAACAAAGACUAAUUGAAUGGUCCAAAGGGUCUUCAAUUCUUGAUUCUGAGACCAAAUUGCUUCUUCGCCUCCAAAGCAGCAUAGUUGCCUCAGAUAAAGAAAUGGCUAUCAUCAGGGAGUGUUUUCUAGACCUUGGUUCAUUUCCUGAAGACCAAAGAAUCCCAGUUACUGCCCUCAUUGAUAUAUGGACAGAGUUAUAUGAGCAGCUAGAUGAAGAUACUCUGUGUGUUGCAUACCUUCAGAGGCUCACCAACCGAAGUCUGGCUAAUCUUGUAGUCACACGGAAGGACCAGACGCAGGGGGAUGGAUACUACAGUGAACAUUUUGUUACUCAGCAUGAUCUUCUUCGAGAGUUGGCUAUCUAUGAGACAAGACAACAAGCCCCAAGAGAUAGAGAAAGACUGAUUAUAAACAUAGUUGAUGACAAUCUUCCUAAAUGGUGGAUGGAAAAGAAGUAUGAAUCCAUGAAAGCUCGCCUAUUAUCCAUCUCAACUGAUGUAAAUUUCUCAUCAAAAUGGCACCACAUGGAACUACCAGAAGCUGAAGUUCUAGUCUUGAAUUUUCAUACGAAGAAUUAUGCCUUACCCAAAUUUAUGGACACUAUGCAUAAAUUGAAGGUACUUGUUGUCACAAAUUAUGGUUUCUCGCCUGCUGAGCUAAGUAAUAUCGCACUACUGGGUUCAUUAUCUCACCUAAAGAGAAUUAGAUUGGAGCGUGUCUCAAUACCUUCAAUAACCAAGAACCCCAUACAGUUGGUGUGUCUGAAGAAGAUAUCUCUAUUCAUGUGUACCAUCGGAAAAGCUUUCAGCGACGGUUCCAUCCAGAUUUCAUGCGCAUUUCCAAAUCUGGAGGAAAUUAGCAUUGACUAUUGUAAUGAUUUGGUGGAAAUGCCUGCCGACCUCUGUGAUCUAAUUCAUCUAAGGAAGCUCAGUGUCACCAACUCACAUAAGCUUCUUUCCUUACCUGAAGAGAUUGGAAAACUGCAAAAUUUGGAACUGCUGAGACUAAGGUCAUGUACAGACUUGGAACAGUUUCCAGGCUCAAGCAGGAACCUAAAGAAGUUGAUCUUUCUGGACAUUUCUUAUUGCUUUAGCAUCAAGGAGUUGCCUGAAGAUAUUGGUGAAAUGAGCAGCUUAAGACAGCUCAACAUGAGAGAAUGCUCCAGAUUGCAAGAAGUGCCUGUAUCAGUGUUAGAUCUUGAGCAUUUGGAGGAAGUGAUAUGUGAUGAUGAGACAAAAAAUUUAUGGGAAGCCUUACCUCUCAAAAACACAAUAAUAGUGGUGGAAAAAGAAAAUAUCAACCUAAAUUGGCUCCAUAAGCUUCACUUUUGAGAGCUGUCUUUACCUAACAUACACAGCGGAUCUCUGUAUGUAUGACUCAUGAUUUCCUUCUGUCAUUUCUUUCUCCUUUUUAGAUUUGGUUCUCUAUUCUUGUAAAUGCAUAGUAUACAGUACGUAUAGCAAUGUAGUAGGCUACUUUCUUUGAGACUUUUUAUGAUACGAGUUUCCAGUUCCCACUUCCCAGUAGCGAAUUCCAUCAGCAGUUCAAUUUAGCAUCAUUGGUGUUUGAUAGAUCAUCUAUAAAAUCUUCAUCUCUGCGUGAUCACACCAAUUUGUAGAACUGUUUCUAUAAAAAUCUAUGCUAGUGUUAGUUAUUAGUACUAUAAAACAGCAGUAACAUGUCCUCUGGUAAUUAGUAUUUGUGUAUGCUUGAUUGAAAUGGGAAGAAUCCAUUAAACUAGGGCCAGCUUACAACACAGAGGGCUUAAUUUACUCUCAACAUUUUGCAGUCAUUUUUAUGGAGACUGAGAGAGCUUACUGUCCGUUAUUUC